GACGAACGCUGGCGGCGUGCUUAACACAUGCAAGUCGAACGGUAAGGCGCUGCUUUUGUGGGGGGGUCGGGUGGCGAACGGGAGAGUAAAACGUGAGUAAACUGACCUUGACUUUGGGAUAAGUUAAGGACACUGGGGCUAAUAUCGGAUAGGAGAUUCUGGUGCAUGGUGGGGGUUGGAAAGUUUAGGCGGUUGGGGCUGGAGUCGCGGCUUUUCCGCUUGAUGGGGGGGUAGUGGCUGACCAAGGCUUUGACGGCUAGCCGGCCUGAGAGGGUGACCGGCCACAUGGGGACUGAGAUACGGCCCAGACUCCUACGGGAGGCAGCAGUGGGGAAUAUUGCACAAUGGGCGGAAGCCUGAUGCAGCAACGCCGCGUGCGGGAUGACGGCCUUCGGGUUGUAAACCGCUUUCGCCUGUGACGAAGCGUGAGUGACGGUAAUGGGUAAAGAAGCACCGGCUAACUACGUG
RNAcentral lists this ribosomal RNA (468 nucleotides) under uncultured bacterium. Its description in RNAcentral is "partial 16S ribosomal RNA". It matches the Rfam family "Bacterial small subunit ribosomal RNA", at positions 28 to 507 of the family's 1533-position model. The record is from RNAcentral.